UACGUAGGGGGCAAGCGUUGUCCGGAUUUACUGGGCGUAAAGAGCGUGUAGGCGGCCAAGCAGGUCCGUUGUGAAAACUGGAGGCUUAACCUCCAGACGUCGACGGAAACCGCGUGGCUAGAGUCCGGAAGAGGAGAGUGGAAUUCCUGGUGUAGCGGUGAAAUGCGUAGAUAUCUGGAGGAACACCGGUGGCGAAGGCGGCAUUCUGGACCGAUAUUGACGCUGAGGAGCGAAAGCCAGGGGAGCAAACGGG
This 253-nucleotide ribosomal RNA is filed under the name uncultured bacterium. Its description in RNAcentral is "partial 16S ribosomal RNA". It matches the Rfam family "Bacterial small subunit ribosomal RNA", at positions 524 to 776 of the family's 1533-position model. The record is from RNAcentral.